Molecule: ribosomal RNA, 452 nt
Filed under: Escherichia coli
Lineage: Bacteria; Pseudomonadati; Pseudomonadota; Gammaproteobacteria; Enterobacterales; Enterobacteriaceae
Description: bacterial SSU rRNA
Rfam family: Bacterial small subunit ribosomal RNA
Source: RNAcentral
GAAGAGUUUGAUCAUGGCUCAGAUUGAACGCUGGCGGCAGGCCUAACACAUGCAAGUCGAACGGUAACAGAAAGAAGCUUGCUUCUUUGCUGACGAGUGGCGGACGGGGGAGUAAUGUCUGGGAAACUGCCUGAUGGAGGGGGAUAACUACUGGAAACGGUAGCUAAUACCGCAUAAUGUCGCAAGACCAAAGAGGGGAACCUUCGGGCCUCUUGCCAUCGGAUGUGCCCAGAUGGGAUUAGCUUGUUGGUGGGGUAACGGCUCACCAAGGCGACGAUCCCUAGCUGGUCUGAGAGGAUGACCAGCCACACUGGAACUGAGACACGGUCCAGACUCCUACGGGAGGCAGCAGUGGGGAAUAUUGCACAAUGGGCGCAAGCCUGAUGCAGCCAUGCCGCGUGUAUGAAGAAGGCCUUCGGGUUGUAAAGUACUUUCAGCGGGGAGGAAGGGAG